CCUACGGGAGGCAGCAGUGAGGAAUAUUGGUCAAUGGACGCAAGUCUGAACCAGCCAUGCCGCGUGCAGGAAGACGGCUCUAUGAGUUGUAAACUGCUUUUGUACGAGGGUAAACGCAGAUACGCGUAUCUGUCUGAAAGUAUCGUACGAAUAAGGAUCGGCUAACUCCGUGCCAGCAGCCGCGGUAAUACGGAGGAUUCAAGCGUUGUCCGGAUUUAUUGGGUUUAAAGGGUGCGUAGGCGGUCGGAUAAGUUAGAGGUGAAAUCCCGAGGCUCAACUUCGGAAUUGCCUCUGAUACUGUCGGGCUAGAGUUUAGUUGCGGUAGGCGGAAUGUAUGGGGUAGCAGUGAAAUGCAUAGAGAUCAUACAGAACACCGAUUGCGAAGGCAGCUUACCAAACUACGACUGACGUUGAGGCACGAAAGCGUGGGGAGCAAACAGGAUUAGAUACCCGUGUAGUC
RNAcentral lists this ribosomal RNA (460 nucleotides) under uncultured bacterium. Its description in RNAcentral is "partial 16S ribosomal RNA". It matches the Rfam family "Bacterial small subunit ribosomal RNA", at positions 338 to 795 of the family's 1533-position model. The record is from RNAcentral.